UUCCAGACUCCUACGGGAGGCAGCAGUGAGGAAUAUUGGUCAAUGGGCGGGAGCCUGAACCAGCCAAGCCGCGUGAAGGAAGAAGGCGCCAAGCGUCGUAAACUUCUUUUGUCGGGGAACAAAGGGCGCCACGUGUGGCGUUGUGAGUGUACCCGAAGAAAAAGCAUCGGCUAACUCCGUGCCAGCAGCCGCGGUAAUACGGAGGAUGCGAGCGUUAUCCGGAUUUAUUGGGUUUAAAGGGUGCGUAGGCGGCCCGAAAGGGCGGGGGAAAAGGCCGGGGGCCCACCCCGGGCGAGCCGUUGAAACUGUCGGACUAGAGACGGCGAGAAGUACGCGGAAUGCGCGGUGUAGCGGUGAAAUGCAUAGAUAUCGCGCAGAACUCCGAUUGCGAAGGCAGCAUGCCGGCUCCACACUGACGCUGAGGCACGAAAGCGUGGGUAUCGAACAGGAUUAGAUACCCUCGUA
This 465-nucleotide ribosomal RNA is filed under the name uncultured bacterium. RNAcentral's name for it is "bacterial SSU rRNA". It matches the Rfam family "Bacterial small subunit ribosomal RNA", at positions 329 to 792 of the family's 1533-position model. The record is from RNAcentral.